CACGGCCUGUAAUGCAGACCUAUUUAUGCCACAAAUUGAAAUAGAAAACUUCGUUCCACCGCUACAUCCAGCGACUGACCUGAAGAUCUCAACAUUCUUUUGUCCAUAAGUAAUACAUUAUGAUGGCUUAAGUACGCUCUCGAAGCGUGAUACAAAUUUAUUUAAUUCAGGAGACAUAACAUGUCUAAAGCAACUGGUAUCGUUAAGUGGUUCAACGAUGAGAAAGGUUUCGGUUUCAUCACUCAGGACAACGGCGGCGCUGACGUAUUCGUUCACUUCCGUGCUAUCCUAGGCGAAGGCUUCAAAUCUCUAGCUGAAGGCCAGAAAGUAUCUUUCGACAUCGAACAAGGUCAGAAAGGUCCUCAAGCUGCUAACGUUGAGCGCAUCUAAUUUUAGAUACCUCGCGUAAAGUUUCUGAAAGAGCGCUCUUGUAGCGCUCUUUUUGUU
RNAcentral lists this small RNA (447 nucleotides) under Photobacterium aphoticum. Its description in RNAcentral is "Photobacterium sp. CECT 7614 cspA thermoregulator". It matches the Rfam family "cspA thermoregulator". The record is from Rfam by way of RNAcentral. Lineage: Bacteria; Pseudomonadati; Pseudomonadota; Gammaproteobacteria; Vibrionales; Vibrionaceae.